This 484-nucleotide ribosomal RNA is filed under the name uncultured bacterium. Its description in RNAcentral is "partial 16S ribosomal RNA". It matches the Rfam family "Bacterial small subunit ribosomal RNA", at positions 30 to 507 of the family's 1533-position model. The record is from RNAcentral.
AUUGAACGCUGGCGGCAGGCCUAACACAUGCAAGUCGAGCGGAUGAAGGGAGCUUGCUCCUGGAUUCAGCGGCGGACGGGUGAGUAAUGCCUAGGAAUCUGCCUGGUAGUGGGGGAUAACGUCCGGAAACGGGCGCUAAUACCGCAUACGUCCUGAGGGAGAAAGUGGGGGAUCUUCGGACCUCACGCUCUCAGAUGAGCCUAGGUCGGAUUAGCUAGUUGGUGGGGUAAAGGCCUACCAAGGCGACGAUCCGUAACUGGUCUGAGAGGAUGAUCAGUCACACUGGAACUGAGACACGGUCCAGACUCCUACGGGAGGCAGCAGUGGGGAAUAUUGGACAAUGGGCGAAAGCCUGAUCCAGCCAUGCCGCGUGUGUGAAGAAGGUCUUCGGAUUGUAAAGCACUUUAAGUGGGGAGGAAGGGCAGUAAGUUAAUACCUUGCUGUAUUGACGUUACCAACAGAAUAAGCACCGGCUAACUUCGUG